This 925-nucleotide long non-coding RNA is filed under the name Homo sapiens (human). RNAcentral's name for it is "novel transcript". Lineage: Eukaryota; Metazoa; Chordata; Mammalia; Primates; Hominidae. The record is from RNAcentral.
AGAAGCACUCUAGCUACAGAUUAGAAUGAUGACAAGAGUAAUACCUUCCUAGUGAAGAUGACUUUUAUUUCAGGACUAUAUUAAGUUUCCCAACUUCUGUCAUGAUAUAGUCCAAAGAGAACCUGGACCACGCAGACAUCAAACAGAACAUGACACUGACCCAUUCUAUCAGUGACGUUGUGCUGAUUGCACAGGACAGAUGAGAGGCUCGUAUACUAGAAGUCUUGUUUCACAUGUCCACAGAUGAAGAAAAAUUGUGCCCCAGCAAGGAUUAUACCCAGAGCCUCAUCCAUUCAUACCUGAUUUAGAUACUUAGAUGAUGAGUAAUAGAAAAGGUGGUUAUCAAACCUGGGUCAAAGUUGAAUCACCUGAGGAUCUUUUAGAACAUACACAGCCAGCUGGACCUGCCCUCAGCUACCUCAUCUCUCUCUGUGACCUAAUGACAGAAAAGCACAUGAUUCUCUUCACCUGACUUCAUAUAUGGGUCCAUGUCAUAUGAUACUUCAAAAUCUGUGAUUCCAUGAAGCCAAGAGUAGCUCUUCAACAGGAAAUGAAUGAGUGCUUCAGCUUCUGAUCCCAUUAGUAAGAAAAUACAGUCUUAUGAGCAAUGAUGGAGCUGCAUCUCUUAGGGGCAUUUGAUUCCCAAGAGACCAAAGAGCAAAGAGAAUGUCAAUUUAAAAAAAUCAAAUGUUUCCAUGACUUAGCUAUUUAACUGCUUUAAAAUGAAUGAAUGCUGCUUCAAGUUCUUUCAAAUACCCCACAUCUUGGCAACAACGAAAGGAAUUAACAUGAAGAAAAUUUACAAUCUUUCAUCACAUCGAACAAUGUCCCACAUUUGAAAAGUUCACAGCACAGAUUUCUGGUUACUGAAAGAAAGGAAAGACCUUCUUUGGAUUUGAAUAAACAGAUGGACUUUCUUCUCCUU